RNAcentral lists this long non-coding RNA (1419 nucleotides) under Ornithorhynchus anatinus (platypus). Its description in RNAcentral is "lncRNA (ENSOANG00000043383.1)". The record is from RNAcentral. Lineage: Eukaryota; Metazoa; Chordata; Mammalia; Monotremata; Ornithorhynchidae.
UUGUUAACAUGCCCCUAAUGUCACAAGCAAGGCUUUUCUUUUAAACGAGCUGCCCAUUGGUGUAUUUUGAUACUUUUUUAUUAUUGCUAAAUCUUUUUUUUCCCAUAAUUACACCACAAUCAUUAUAUAAUCCCAUAACAAAGAAUCUAUUGAGGCACCAUGCUUUUGUCAACUAUAGGACACAGAAUCCAUAAUUGCAUUAUUCAGCUUUUUCUCCCUCUUCUCUUCCUCGCUUUGUGGAGACAUAACCUACUGCACGGGACACAUUUGCACCUUGUUUCCCCCGGUUGUGUAUUAUUUACUAAAACGUUUGCCCUGAGGAUAAACCUCGCAAAGUUGCUUUAAAAAAGUUAUUUGUUUGAUAAUUAAGUCCUGAAACCCAUCGUUUAAUGAUUAUUCCGGACCCAUAAGGCAGAGAACCUCCAUGACGUUUUUCUCUAAGUUUAAUUACCGUAUGCUAAUUUCCUUGCCUACUACGUGAUUAAUUAAAAUCAUAUUUUCAUAAUCAUUUGGCACUAGUAUUGUUUUAGAAUUAUCAUGAUCCCCUAAAUAGUGUCUGUAAAUAAAGUCAGCUCUAAUGGAAAGAAUGGAAAUGCAAGGCUGAGGACCUUUUAUGUGUUUGUAUCUAUGCGAUUGGCAACAUAACUGGCUUAUUUACAUUAAAUACGCCACAAGGUUACAGUGCAGAUCAACGUCAUUUUAUCGCUGAUUACUUCUCUUAAACGCCGGAGCUGUGACUGAUGCUUCAUGUCCCGCUGUCCACCAAGAUUCACCCUGGAGUUUUGUGGGUUUUUUUUAAAGAAAAAGACUUUAAAUAGUUUCAGGAGCAGCCCAAGAAAAUGAUCAAGUCAAUCAUGUGGACAUGCUUCAUUAUUCAUUGAACACAAUCUUUUACAACGCUCCGUUUACGUGCUGGAGUUUCUCCCUACGCUUUGCUCUAAAUGUUGAAGGUCUCAUUUUUGCAGUUCCUGAUCGUCACUAUCUACCCCACGUCUUUAAGAAUUUCCCUCACCCAGGAGGCAGAUCUGUUGAUUUAAGAAUACCCUGGGUCUUCCUGAACUUCCUCUUCAGAUCUGGCUCAUUUCCAAGUGGCUUCGUCUUCUAUCCCUGACUGCCAGAAGUCACCAGAAGAGCUACUGUCCAGCUCAGGUAAAUUUGCCUAUUUUUUAAUACGGGGAAGAGGGAAGGAUAAAUGUCUGUCUAAAAUCGUGCAAAUAACAAGGAUGAGGCUGGGGCACUGAAGACUAUAUGACCUUUCUAACCGCUGGCCUUGUGUUCUCUGAAGUUCCUGCAUUACAAGGGUAAAUAAACAUCCUUAAGAAGAUUCAUGACUUUCCCUCUACUUCAAAGCCACAAGUCUACUUGAUACACAGUGAUCUCUGUUCCUCUCCAUAAGGCUCAUACACCUGUGACUUCAGU